GUGAGGUGUUGGGUUAAGUCCCGCAACGAGCGCAACCCNUAUGUCUAGUUGCCAGCAUGUAAUGGUGGGGACUCUAAACAGACUGCCUAUGCAAAUAGAGAGGAAGGAGGGGACGACGUCAAGUCAUCAUGGCCCUUACGUCCGGGGCUACACACGUGCUACAAUGGAUGAUACAGAGGGCAGCUACCUGGCAACAGGAUGCCAAUCUCACAAAGUCAUUCACAGUUCGGAUUGGGGUCUGCAACUCGACCCCAUGAAGUUGGAUUCGCUAGUAAUCGCUGAUCAGCAAUGCUGCGGUGAAUACGUUCCCGGGCCUUGUACACACCGCCCGUCAAGCCAUGGAAGCUGGGGGUGCCUGAAGUCGGUAACCGCAAGGAGCCGCCUAGGG
This 388-nucleotide ribosomal RNA is filed under the name uncultured maize root bacterium Zmrc207. Its description in RNAcentral is "bacterial SSU rRNA". It matches the Rfam family "Bacterial small subunit ribosomal RNA", at positions 1067 to 1462 of the family's 1533-position model. The record is from RNAcentral.